Long non-coding RNA from Macrobrachium nipponense, 3576 nucleotides. RefSeq lists it as uncharacterized. The transcript is spliced from 3 exons. The record is from RefSeq and is a predicted model, not a curated record. NCBI's taxonomy places the organism in Eukaryota, Metazoa, Arthropoda, Malacostraca, Decapoda, Palaemonidae.
GAUCAGACCCUGUGGUGGAGAGUCAGUUUUUUGACAGCAGUCUUCAGUAUUAUUGAUGUGUCUCUCGGGUGAAGCUUGAACUUGGUGUUUUUUGGAGAACUGGGUUUACUGUUAUUCUGCUGUUUAUUGUGAGGAGCUGAUUGUAAUUUUGCAGUAAAGAUCGAACUGGUUAUAAAUCAUAAAGAAAGAAGAUAAUGAGACACCAGCCGAGUGCUGCAUCUGGAUUAUUUUAAAGGUGAGAGAGAAAACAGCAGGGCUUUAAUGUUCAGCACAAGAGGAACUGAGGACUCCAGAGCAGAGCGAGCAAGAGGGCUCAGCGGUAAGAGAAGAUCUUCAGAAGAGAGCGAGAGAGCUCAGCAGUAAGAGAAGAUCGUCAGAAGAGUGAGGGAGCUCAGCAGUAAAAGAAGAUCGUCAGAAGAGAGCAAGGGAGCUCAGUAGUAAGAGAAGAUCGUGGAAGAGAGCGAGAGAGCUCAGCAGUAAGAGAAGAUCGUGGAAGAGAGCGAGAGAGCUCAGCAGUAAGAGAUCUUCAGAAGAGAGAGAGAGAGCUCAGCAGUAAGAGAAGAUCGUCAGAAGAGAGUGAGGGAGCUCGGCAGUAAAAGAUCGCCAGAAGAGAGUGAGAGAGCUCAGCAGUAAGAGAAGAUCUUCAGAAGAGAGAGAGAGAGAGAGCUCAGCAGUAAGAGAAGAUUGUCAGAAGAGAGUGAGGGAGCUCAGCAGUAAGAGAAGAUCGUUAGAAGAGCGCGAGGGAGCUCAGCAGUAAAAGAAGAUCGUCAGAAGAGAGCGAGGGAACAGCAGUAAGAAAAGACCUUCAGAAGAGAGAGAGAGAACUCAGCAGUAAGAGAUCGUCAGAAGAGAGCGAGAGAGCUCAACAGUAAGAGAAGAUCAGCAGAAGAGAGUGAGAGGGCUCAGCGGUAAGAGAUCUUCAGGAGAGAGCGAGAGAGCUCAGCAGUUAGAGAAGAUCUUCAGAAGAGAGAGAUCAUCAGAAGAGAGCUAGGGCCUCGGCAGUAAGAGAAGAUCAGCAGAAGAGAGCGAGAGAGCUCAGCAGGAAGAGGAGAUCGUCGGGAGAGAGCUCAGCAGUAAGAGAUCGUCAGAAGAGAGCUAGGGCCUCAGCAGUAAGAGAAGAACAUCAGAAGAGAGCGAGAGAGCUCAACAGUAAGAGAAGAUCAGCAGAAGAGAUUGAGAGAGCUCAGCAGGAAGAGAAGAUCAUCAGAAGAGAACAAGAGGGCUCAGCAGUAAGAGAAGAUCAUCAGAAGAGAACAAGAGGGCUCAGCAGUAAGAGAAGAUCGUCAGAAGAGAGCGAGGGAGCUCAGCAGUAAGAGAAUAUCUUCAGAAGAGAGCGAGAGAGCUCUGCAGUAAGAGAAGAUCUUCAGUAAGUGAGCAAUAGAGCUCAGCAGAAAGAAAAGGUCGUCAGAAGAGAGAGAGAGAUCAGCAGUAAGAGAAGAUUGUCAGAAAAGAGCAAGAGAGCUAAGAAGUAAGAGAAGAUCGUCAGAAGAGAGCUGAGAAGUAAGAGAAAAUUGUCAGAAGAGAGAGAGAUAGAGCUCAGCAGAAAGAAAAGAUCACCAGAAGAGAGAGAGUGCGUUCGGCAGUAAGAGAAGAUCGCCAGAAGAGAGUGAGGGAGCUCGGCAGUAAGAGAAGAUUGUCAGAAGAAAGUGAGGGAGCUCAGCAGUAAGAGAAGAUUGUCAGAAGAGAGAGAUCACCAGAAGAGAGUGAGUGCGUUCAGCAGUAAGAGAAGACCGCCAGAAGAGAGCGAGGGAGCUGAGGAGUAAGAGAAUCGUCAGAAUGAAGUAAGGGAGCUCAGCAGUAAGAGAAGAUCGUCAGAAGAGAGCGAAAGAUCUCAGCAGUAAGAGAAGAUCGUCAUAAGAGAGCAAAAGAGUUCAGCAGUAAGAGAAGCUCGUCAGAAGUGAGAGGGAGAGCAGUAAGAGAUCUUCAUAAGAGAGCACGCGAACUCAGCCGUAAGAGAAGAACGUCAUAAGAGAGCGAGAGAGCUCAGCAAUAAGAGAAGAUCGUCAAAAAAGAGCAAGAGAGCUGAGAAGUAAGAGAAGAUUGUCUGAAGAGGGCGAGAGUGCUAGGCAUUAUGAGUAAAUCCUCAGAAGAGAGCGAGCGAGUUCAGCUGUAAGAGAAGAUCGUCAGAAGUGAGCGAGGGAGCUCGGCAGUAAGAGAAGAUUGUCAGAAGAAAGUGAGGGAAGUCAGCAGUAAGAGAAUAUCAGCAGGAGAGAGCAAGAGAGCUCAGCAAUAAGGGAAGAUCGUCGGGAAAGAGCUCAGCAGUAAAAGAAGAUCGUCAGAAGAAAGUGAGGGAGCUCAGCAGUAAGAGAAGAAUGUCAGAAGAGAGCGAGAGAGCUCAGCAGUAAAUAGAAUUGUCAGAAGAGAGCAAGAGGGCUCAGCAGUAAGAAAAGAUCGUCAGGGGAGAACGAGAGAGCUUGAAUUAAAAGAAGAUCGUCAGGGGAGAACGAGAGAGCUUGAAUUAAAAGAAGAUCGUCAGAAGAGAACAAGAGUGCUCAGCAGUAAAGAGAAGAUCAUCAAAAGAGAGCGAGAGCUCUCGGCAGUAAAGAGAAGAUCAUCAAAAGAGAGCGAGAGGGCUCGGAAGUAAAGAGAAGAUCGUCAGAAGAGAACGAGAGGGCUCGGAAUUAAGAGGUCACCAGAAGAGCAAAUGAGAGAGCUCAGCAGGAAGAGGAGAUCGUCGGAAGAGAGCGAGAGAGCUCAGCAGUAAGAGAUCAUCAGAAGAGAGAGAGAGUUCAGCAGUAAGAGAUCGUCAGAAGAGAGCUAAGGCCUCAGCAGUAAGAGAAGAUUAUCAGAAGAGAGUGAGAGAGCUCAGCAUUAAGAGAAAAUCCUCAGAUGAGAGCGAGGGAGCUCAGCAGUAAGAGAAGAUCAUCAGAAGAGAGGGAGAGAGCUCUGCAGUAAGAGAGCAAUAGAGCUCAGCAGAAAGAAAAGGUCGUCAGAAGAGCGAGGGAGCUCAGCAGUAAGAGAAUAUUGUCAGAAAAGAGCAAGAGAGCUGAGAAGUAAGAGAAGAUCGUCAGAAGAGAGCUGAGAAGUAAGAGAAGAUCGUCAGAAGAGAGAGAGUUAGAGCUCAGCAGAAAGAAAAGAUCACCAGAAGAGAGCGAGUGCAUUCGGCAGUAAGAGAAGAUUGUCAGAAGAGAGUGAGGGAACUCGGCAGUAAGAGAAGAUUGUCAGAAGAAAGUGAGGGAGCUCAGCAGUAAGAGAUUGUCAGAAGAAAGUGAGGGACUUCAGCAGAAUGAGGAGGGAGCUCAGCAGUAAUAGAAGAUUGUCGGAAGAGAGAGAGAGAGAGAGAGAGAGAGAGAGAGCUCAGCAGAAAGAAAAGAUCACCAGAAGAGAGCAAGUGUAUUCAGCAGUAAGAGAAGAUCGUCAGAAGAGAGCGAAAGAUCUCACCAGUAAGAGAAGAUAGUCAGAAGAGAGCGAAAGAGCUCAGCAGUAAGAGAAGAUCUUCAGAAGAGAGCGAAAGAGCUUAGCAGUAAGAGAAGAUCUUCAGAAGAGAGCGAGAGAGCCCAGCAGUAAGAGAAGAUCUUCAGAAGAGAGCGAGAGAGCCUAGCAGUAAGAGAAGAUUGAAAGAAGAGAGUGAGGUCG